AACGAACGCUGGCGGCAGGCUUAACACAUGCAAGUCGAACGGUAGCACAGAGAGCUUGCUCUUGGGUGACGAGUGGCGGACGGGUGAGUAAUGUCUGGGAAACUGCCCGAUGGAGGGGGAUAACUACUGGAAACGGUAGCUAAUACCGCAUAACGUCUUCGGACCAAAGUGGGGGACCUUCGGGCCUCACACCAUCGGAUGUGCCCAGAUGGGAUUAGCUAGUAGGUGGGGUAAUGGCUCACCUAGGCGACGAUCCCUAGCUGGUCUGAGAGGAUGACCAGCCACCCUGGAACUGAGACACGGUCCAGACUCCUACGGGAGGCAGCAGUGGGGAAUAUUGCACAAUGGGCGCAAGCCUGAUGCAGCCAUGCCGCGUGUAUGAAGAAGGCCUUCGGGUUGUAAAGUACUUUCAGCGGGGAGGAAGGCGUUAAGGUUAAUAACCUUGGCGAUUGACGUUACCCGCAGAAGAAGCACCGGCUAACUCCGUGCCAGCAGCCGCCGUAA
Molecule: ribosomal RNA, 504 nt
Filed under: uncultured bacterium
Lineage: Bacteria
Description: partial 16S ribosomal RNA
Rfam family: Bacterial small subunit ribosomal RNA
Source: RNAcentral